RNAcentral lists this ribosomal RNA (2139 nucleotides) under Triticum aestivum (bread wheat). RNAcentral's name for it is "partial small subunit ribosomal RNA". Lineage: Eukaryota; Viridiplantae; Streptophyta; Magnoliopsida; Poales; Poaceae. The record is from RNAcentral.
AUGCCUUCGAUGAUUAUACCUAAGGGUACUGCACAUAGUACAUACCUGCAGAUGGACGACAAAAUCAGUACUAGACACAAUGCUCUGGAGCGCAUGCUAAUUGAUGAAAAUGCGGAGCCAACAAAUCUGCCGCUAUCACUUCUAGAAGAUAUCACAAAAUGUUUCUCUGACGAUCAUCAAAUCGGCGUCGGUGGGUUUGCGGUGGUUUAUAAGGGAAUGGUUGGAAAUGAGGCAGUCGCUGUGAAGAGGCUAUCCACGACAUUUGAUAUGCAGGAGAAUAAAUUUCACAAAGAGGUUGAAUGCUUGAUGAAGGCCAAGCACAAAAACAUAGUGCGUUUUCUCGGAUAUUGUUCUGACACACAAGGGAAAAUUGUAGACUAUGAGGGGAAGAUGGUCAUGGCGGAUAUACGAAAUUGGUUGCUCUGUUUUGAGUAUGUACCCAGCGGAAGUCUUGAUAAAUACAUUACCGAUGCAUCUCAUGGACUUGGAUGGAAGGAACGUUAUCAGAUAAUUAAGGGAAUAUGUGAGGGUCUAUGUCAUCUUCAUGAGAAGCGCAUUCUGCACUUAGAUCUGAAACCCGCCAAUAUUCUAAUAGAUGAUCAUAUGGUACCCAAAAUUGCUGAUUUUGGUCUUUCAAGGUGCCUCGACAAAGAGCAAACCCGGGCUAUUACUUCAAACCUUUGUGGAUCAUUGGGAUAUUUGGCACCCGAAUUCUACAGUGGACAUGUCUCAUUCGCGUCGGACAUAUAUAGUCUUGGCGUUAUAAUCGUGGAGAUAUUGACAGGACAAAAGGGUUAUUCUGAAGAUGAUAAUGUAAUUGAUAGUUGGAUGAUUCAAUUGGAGACAUCAGAUCAGGCGGACACUCUGUUGGAACAAGUAAAAGUAUGCACAAAAAUAGGGAUAGAGUGCAUGGACCCGAACCCAAAGAAGAGACCUGCCGCUAGGCACAUACUCGAUAUGAUUGAUAAAACGGAAAGUGCCGCAUAUUCAGAAGAAACUGCCAUCAGCUUCCCAGCAAAGAAAAGAAAAAAAGAAACCGCCAUCAGCAGUUCAUCAUCACAUAAUCCCCGGGUGGCUGAUGCAGGCGUGUGGGACCGUGUUAGCGGCCCGGCGUGUUCGGACGCCGAAUUCCAGCGGGCCUUCCACAUGUCGCGCGCCACGUUGCACUCGCUCUGCCAUGAGCUCGUCAUCGCCAUCGCCAAGGACACCACCUUGUGUGCUGCCAUACCCGUGCACCAGCACGUCGGCGGGGACGCAGCGCCGGCAGCAAUGAACGGACGCCGGGUGUGGGUGCGGGAGCGGAGCACGGAGUGGUGGGACCGCCUCAGCGGCCUGGCAUGCCCGGACGCCGAGUUCCGGCAGGCCUUCCGCAUGUCGCGUGCCACGUUCGAUGCGAUCUGCGACGAGCUUGGCGCCGCCAUCGCCAAGGAGGACACCGCCCUGCGCGCUGCCAUACCCGCGCAGCAGCGCUUCGCCGUCUGCGUGUGGCGCCUCGCUACCGGGGAGCCCCUCCGUGAGGUGUCCCGCCGUUUUGGCCUAGGCAUCUCCACCUGCUACAACAUCGUUCUCCAGGUCUGCGCCGCCCUCACCGGUGUCCUCAUGCCCAAGGCCAUCCGCUUGCCCCUGGACUCCCCUGAAGUCACCGCCUCCAGGUUUGAGGCCCUGUCCUGGAUCCCCGGCAUCGUUGGCGCUGUGUGCACUGACCACAUCCCCAUUGGCCCACCCAAGGAGAAUGUUGCCGAGUACUACAACCGCUGCCUCACGGAGCGCAUGAACAAGGCAUCCUAUUCUGUCGCCUUGCAGGCCGUCGUGGACGCUGACGGCACUUUCACAGACGUCUGCAUCGGCCUCCCAGGCUCACUGUCCGAUACAGCUGUGUUUGAGCAGUCGGCGCUGCACGCCCGCUGCGAGGCUGGGUUGUUUGGAGACAACCAGUACUGGCUGGUUGGCGGCCCAAGGUACCCGCUCAAGGACUGGAUGCUCGUGCCAUAUGCGUACCAGAACCUGACGUGGGCGCCUUCAACGAGCGUGUCGCGGUUGCGCACGGAGCUGCGUGGGGCGCGUUACAGAGGCUCAAGGCACGGUGGCGCAUCCUGCAGCGCCGCACCGAGCCCAAGCUGCCAGACCUUCACAACAUGA